GGGUACAAUGGCUGGCUUGCUGUGGCUACCCAGAUGUUAAAAUUGAAAUGACACAGGGAAGAUUAUCAUGGCCUGCAACAAGGAUGACGUGCAAAUCCGUGAAGUGGUCGAUAAUUUG
This is a small nuclear RNA of Paramormyrops kingsleyae, 118 nucleotides long. The record is from Ensembl. NCBI's taxonomy places the organism in Eukaryota, Metazoa, Chordata, Actinopteri, Osteoglossiformes, Mormyridae.